Molecule: non-coding RNA, 31 nt
Filed under: Rattus norvegicus (Norway rat)
Lineage: Eukaryota; Metazoa; Chordata; Mammalia; Rodentia; Muridae
Source: RNAcentral
UGUCAAUGCUUCCUGUACAGUUGCUUGAUGC